UACAGAGGGUGCGAGCGUUAAUCGGAAUUACUGGGCGUAAAGGGUGCGUAGGUUGCGAUGUAAGUCAAAUGUGAAAGCCCCGGGCUUAACCUGGGAACUGCAUAUGAAACUGCAUAGCUAGAGUAUGGUAGGGGGAAGUGGAAUUUCCGGUGUAGCGGUGAAAUGCGUAGAUAUCGGAAGGAACACCAACGGCGAAGGCAACUUCCUGGACCAAGACUGACACUGAGGCACGAAAGCGUGGGUAGCAAACAGG
RNAcentral lists this ribosomal RNA (253 nucleotides) under uncultured bacterium. Its description in RNAcentral is "partial 16S ribosomal RNA". It matches the Rfam family "Bacterial small subunit ribosomal RNA", at positions 524 to 776 of the family's 1533-position model. The record is from RNAcentral.